Long non-coding RNA from Dipodomys spectabilis (banner-tailed kangaroo rat), 477 nucleotides. RefSeq lists it as uncharacterized. The transcript has 3 exons. The record is from RefSeq and is a predicted model, not a curated record. NCBI's taxonomy places the organism in Eukaryota, Metazoa, Chordata, Mammalia, Rodentia, Heteromyidae.
GCCGUAAAGGCCGUCUGUGUGUGCGUGCGCGCUGUUUCCCGGGUGCUGGCCGCGGCUGUGAGGGACCUGGCCGUGCCGCGCGGCCCUCACGUCACGAUGGUGAAGCUGAGCAAAGAGGCCAAGCAGAGGCUGCAGCAGCUCUUCAAGGGCGGCCAGUUCGCCAUCCGCUGGGGCUUUAUCCCUCUCGUCAUUUACCUGGGGUUUUAAAGGGGUCCAGAUCCUGGAAUGCCUGAACCAACAGAGCCUACUUUGGGGAUAAAGGACUAUUUGGUCAUCUGGACUUGGAAGCAAUCCUGAACAGAAACACUAUGGAAGGUGUGUGCUCUGGAUGGGAUAAGACAUGGGACAUCGUUCAGGUGGCCAGUCUUCAUUUGGAUGGCACAGGGCUCUUCUCAGAUGCAUCUGUGAUGGAGUAGAACCUCUUCUGACUUAUUUAUCAUACAUAGACUAUCAAAAUAAAUAUUUUCAACAAUGUUA